GGAUCAUUUCAUUCUUUCCUGACAAAUGAGGCUCAGUUUCACCUUUGUGGCAAACUUCAGGCAGAGGAUGGGGAAAGAAUACUGAGCCUGCCCCUCCACACUCUGCAGAGCCUCCAGCUCCCAAAGUGGGGUGCAAGUGUCCAGCAGAAGGUCUCCUGCCCCACAAAGCCUUCAGUUCAAAGGAACUUGCUUGAGGAUAGCAUUUAAUUGACCUCAGUGAUGGAGCACCAGCAGGAUGCCUUUUGCCUAGCAACAACCUCCAGAUCCCUUGCUUUUCUUGGAGCAGAUCUUCAAAUCAGCCAUGACACCUGACACCAGAACUAGAGAACAGAAAAAAACCCAGUAGUUACCGUGAUACCCCUGGUCCUCCUCUCUUCCUUCUCCUGUGCAUCAGCAUCCACAACCACACAUGGAGCUGCCACAUGAGAGGUGAAUACAGUCAAGCCAUGCCAGCUGCUGCUGAGAGAGAGAAGGGCAGGCAGAUCUACAGCCACAGGGGGUUGAAAUGAUCUCUCAGGAUGGGCUAAAUAAGGUAAAAAUUGAUUGUUUGGACAAAGAGAAGUAAAACCAGUGAGUUUUUCUUUCAGCACUCCAAGUGCUGAAGUAUCACCUUUGGACCACAUCAUAUCUGGUGGUCUGCACUCGUUUGGUCAAUGUCCUCUGGUGGAGCAAUGCUUUGAAGUUGGUAACAAAGGGAGAAGGCAGAGACAGCUGUUCACAUCUUACCCUCCAGAGUGCAGGAGAAGUUUCCCACCUUAUGCUUUUCUUUCCUGUGCUUUUGCCCAAGAAUGUAUCUCUGUGGGCAUUUGUAUUCUGACAUGCCUGAGCUCUGUGAGUAUGCUCUGUGAGUCACCCCCAAGAUGGAAGAUGGAGAGCUGAAAUCAGCAUGGGGCUGAGUCCAGUGCAGAAGCUCCAUCCUACAAGAGGCUGUAGCUUGUGCAGAUCCAGCACUGGGUGUAUUAUUUCAGCCUGGCUCAGAGCGCUACCAGGACAAGCUGAAAAAACCCCACUGUUUUUUUAGUCUAAGCCUCUUAUAGAAACAUGGUUUUCAGACAUGUCUGGGUAACAUCUGGAGUAGCUGGCCAUGAGAUUUCAAGGGAAAUUAUAUUUUCUUGAAAGUGUGCUCCUUUUGGGUUUAUUCUGAUGCAAAACUGAGGAGUGGACUUUGUUCUCUGCUGAAUGGGAGGGUGUUUGCAGCAACAUUAUGGACAACAAUUGAGUUAGUCUCCAUUUAUAACAUCUGAGAGUUGAAUCUGGCCUGCAGUCGAGCCAGUAAGUCUCACGGGAUCUUAUGUACACUGUUUUGAAAACCUAUUUUUUAAGGAAAACAAAGGAAGUUCCCGUAAUUUGAAGCUCAUAAUGUUUGCAGUAAUCCAGCUAUACAAAACCAAAUGCCCCCCAAGUAAAAGUCCAUUAGGCAGCAAACAAUAACUUUUUCCUGGUGCCCUGCUGCUCUGAAAGAAGGACCAGCCCUGUUUUCUUCAGGAGGGAGCACAGAGGGUCCAGUGCAUGUAGACCUCACCAAGAAUGGAAGAAGAGAUGGCUGAAAGGAAGGCUGGGCUUGAGCUUGAGCAGAUCCAAACUCUGCUCUCAUGCAGGCUGCCUGGUUGAACUUGAGCAUCACUUUGCUGCUCUUCCCAUCUGUCAGAUGGGAUUACUGCUCCACUCAGGCACUACAGGGAUGGGGGCCACGCAAGAGCCUGUAGCAAGAUGAAGGCUUUCUGAUCUUGCAGCUCCUGACAUCUGUGCUGGUAACAAAAAGGCCACAGGUGUAGGUGGCUUUAUGACGAGGAAACUGCAUCGAGACCUGAAACAAACCAAGACCACUGGCUUCUUUGUCUUAAUGAAAGCAGCUCAACAGAGAGCUAUUUCCAACAGUUUUGAUAUGUGAAUAGGAAUCCUGAUUCUCUGGGGGGUUAGGGUUAUCAUUUCCCAUUAGUGUUCAUGCUGCUCCCCAAUAAUACUUUCCCUUGUCUUUUGUUGUCUCUUCUUCCCCUUCCCCUUCAAUUCCUUAUUUCUGUUUCACUGUUCCUGCUUUUAUUUUCUUCCAUCCAUCAGUUCUCAGAAUUUUUUCAAAGCCAGACUAACUGUUAAAUCACAGCCUUCUUUCACAAACCAACUCCUGAUAUGUGCUUAUAUUUUAACCCAAAAUGUACUUUUCUCAUCCCACCUCUCAGUGGCUGAAAUAAGCAGAAUGCCUGAACAUACUGAGGAGUACAUUUCUAUUGCGUAAGGAAGGGAGAAAAAGAAAAAUCCACAGCCCUGAGACUCCCAGGAGUACUGGGAGCUGGCAGCACUCCUUUUGCCCAGUUUUGCAGGUACCAAACUGCUGUUUUCUAAUCCAGUAACUGGGUUUCCACUGAUGUGAGAGUGUCUAUAUUCAUACUGUAAUCAACAUCCACAUCCUGGCCGUAUUUUAAAUUGGAUUAGGGUGUGAGUUUCCUUCUCCUUUUACAAUCAACAUGAGCAAAUGUUUUGUUUAUCAAAGCAAUCUGAGUGAUGCAUAAUGGAAAGCAUUAGAUCUAUCUGGAACACUUAUAACCCUGGAGUAGGUGCGUUACAAUAACGGGAAAUCUAUUCUGCUAAAAGCUUCCUUUGGGAUCAUUAUCUAGAGACCUGCUAACCCUGCAAUUGUUCCCACAGCCCCAGUACCUUCUUCAGAAACAAAAUGAAGACCAUAGCUGCCUGCUUGAGUAUGAACAGCCCAGCUUGCUGGUGCACAGGUGGAUGCAGCUCCCCAUGUGGAUGCAAUGCUUUCCUCCCCAGGUGAUGAGAAAUUGUAGACUGAGUGCUUUGAAUGGAGGUUUCCCCACUGCUGCAAAUCUUUCUCAUUUAAAACCCAUGAGGGAAAGAGGUCCUCUGUGUCUGACAGCCUCCUUGACUUCUUUUUUACUAAACAGGAGAGUUUUAUAUAUAAACCAAAUGUAUGCUUCCAUUUCCAAAGAGUGAGGGCCUGAUGUAUAUGUAUAAAUAAACGG
Long non-coding RNA from Passer domesticus (house sparrow), 2978 nucleotides. RefSeq lists it as uncharacterized. NCBI's taxonomy places the organism in Eukaryota, Metazoa, Chordata, Aves, Passeriformes, Passeridae. The transcript is spliced from 3 exons. The record is from RefSeq and is a predicted model, not a curated record.